This 1152-nucleotide ribosomal RNA is filed under the name uncultured organism. Its description in RNAcentral is "bacterial SSU rRNA". It matches the Rfam family "Bacterial small subunit ribosomal RNA", at positions 114 to 1299 of the family's 1533-position model. The record is from RNAcentral.
CGCGUGAGAAUCUACCUUCUAGAUGGGGACAACCGUUGGAAACGACAGCUAAUCCCCAAUAAGCCGAGAGGUGAAACGGGUAUCCGCUAGAAGAGGAGCUCGCGUCCGAUUAGUUAGUUGGUGGGGUAAAAGCCUACCAAGGCAGCGAUCGGUAGCUGGUCUGAGAGGAUGAGCAGCCACACUGGGACUGAGACACGGCCCAGACUCCUACGGGAGGCAGCAGUGGGGAAUUUUCCGCAAUGGGCGAAAGCCUGACGGAGCAACGCCGCGUGUGGGAAGAAGGCUCUUGGGCUGUCAACCACUUUUCUCAGGGAAGAAGUCCUGACGGUACCUGAGGAAUCAGCCUCGGCUAACUCCGUGCCAGCAGCCGCGGUAAUACGGAGGAGGCAAGCGUUAUCCGGAAUUAUUGGGCGUAAAGCGUCCGCAGGGGGCGCAUCAAGUCUGCUGUUAAAGGUCGGAGCUAAACUCCGGUAGAGCAGUGGAAACUGGUGCGCUAGAGGGCGACAGGGGUAGAGGGAAUUCCCAGUGUAGCGGUGAAAUGCGUAGAGAUUGGGAAGAACACCGGUGGCGAAAGCGCUCUACUGGGUCGCACCUGACCCUCAGGGACGAAAGCUAAGGUAGCGAAAGGGAUUAGAUACCCCUGUAGUCUUAGCCGUAAACGAUGGAUACUAGGCGUGGUUUGUAUCGACCCAAGCCGUGCCGAAGCUAACGCGUUAAGUAUCCCGCCUGGGGAGUACGCACGCAAGUGUGAAACUCAAAGGAAUUGACGGGGGCCCGCUCAAGCGGUGGAGGAUGUGGUUUAAUUCGAUGCAACGCGAAGAACCUUACCAGGGCUUGACAUCCCGCGAAGUUUGGGGAAACUCAGACGUGCCUACGGGAACGCGGAGACAGGUGGUGCAUGGCUGUCGUCAGCUCGUGUCGUGAGAUGUUGGGUUAAGUCCCGCAACGAGCGCAACCCUCGUCCUUAGUUGCCAGCAUUAAGUUGGGCACUCUAGGGAGACUGCCGGUGACAAACCGGAGGAAGGUGAGGAUGACGUCAAGUCGGCAUGCCCCUUAUGCUCUGGGCAACACACGUCCUACAAUGGUCGGGACAAAGGGGAGCGAGCUCGCGAGAGUAAGCGAAUCCCAGCAAACUCGGCCUCAGUUCAGAUA